GACGAACGCUGGCGGCGUGCCUAAUACAUGCAAGUCGAGCGGACCAAAGGGAGCUUGCUCCUGGAGGUUAGCGGCGAACGGGUGAGUAACACGUGGGCAACCUGCCUGUAAGACUGGGAUAACAUCGAGAAAUCGGUGCUAAUACCGGAUAAUAAAAAGAACUGCAUGGUCUUUUUGAAAGAUGGUUUCGGCUAUCACUUACAGAUGGGCCGCGGCGCAUUAGCUAGUUGGUGAGGUAACGGCUCACCAAGGCAACGAUGCGUAGCCGACCUGACGAGGGUGAUCGGCCACACUGGGACUGAGACACGGCCCAGACUCCUACGGGA
This 326-nucleotide ribosomal RNA is filed under the name uncultured bacterium. RNAcentral describes it as "bacterial SSU rRNA". It matches the Rfam family "Bacterial small subunit ribosomal RNA", at positions 28 to 346 of the family's 1533-position model. The record is from RNAcentral.